Molecule: ribosomal RNA, 460 nt
Filed under: uncultured bacterium
Lineage: Bacteria
Description: partial 16S ribosomal RNA
Rfam family: Bacterial small subunit ribosomal RNA
Source: RNAcentral
CCUACGGGCGGCAGCAGUGAGGAAUAUUGGUCAAUGGGCGCGAGCCUGAACCAGCCAAGUCGCGUGCGGGAUGAAGGUUCUAUGGAUCGUAAACCUCUUUUAUAAGGGAAUAAAGUGUGGGACGUGUCCUAUUUUGUAUGUAUCUUAUGAAUAAGGAUCGGCUAACUCCGUGCCAGCAGCCGCGGUAAUACGGAGGAUCCGGGCGUUAUCCGGAUUUAUUGGGUUUAAAGGGUGCGUCGGCGGGCUUUUAAGUCAGCGGUGAAAGUCUGUGGCUCAACCAUGGAAUUGCAGUUGACACUGGGGGGCUUGAGUAUGUUUGAGGCAGGCGGAAUGCGUGGUGUAGCGGUGAAAUGCUUAGAUAUCACGAAGAACCCCGAUUGCGAAGGCAGCCUGCCAAGCCAUGACUGACGCUGAUGCACGAAAGCGUGGGGAUCAAACAGGAUUAGAUACCCCGGUAGUC